CUUUGCUGGAAUUGUGGAGCCUAGACUGCCCAGAUGCCGUUAAGUCUGUGCCAGACACUGCUCAAGGCUUUCCCACCACGACCUCAUUGAAUCCUUUUAACAACUCCAUGGGGUAAGACCAAACCCACUUUGGGACGACGAAACUGAGAGUCAACAAAGUACUUUUCUGAGGAUGAAGGAAGCCAUUCUUGGUAUAACUACAUGUAGAACAUUAUGUCGCUCUGCACCUCACAGACAUUCAGCAAACGUCCAAAGAAAGGACGAAGGUAAGCCACGUUGACGGAAAGAGAAAAGUCCUGAACCUCAACCUAAAUGCGACCUCGACGAACGAAGGAUCAUUCUAAGUCGGUAUUAACAACCCCAACUCUCCUGCUCUCAAGGACAACGCAACGCAGGUGAUGCUUGAACCAAAUCCCGCUUGUCCACACUACGGCAAAAAUGUUUCAUUUGCACUGCAAAUGAGAUCCGCGUCCACCGGAGGCAGGACCGCAAGGCACGGCCCUCUUCGACUCGAGUCUCGGUCAUCUGGGACCUGUUGAUUAUGUGUUACAUGCCAAGCUCUGAGGUUGGGAACAAGGACAGAGAUAGGAGAGAGACCUUAUAUUUGUCUUCUCAGCUGCAUAUGAACUCAGCUGCCAGAGUCAUCAAGGACUGAGCCGCAGAGCACCAACAGAUGAUAACAGCAAGGACCUCCUUGCUGGGACCUGCCGCUCCUGUGUCCCUCACCAGUGCCAGUCUUCCUUCUGCAAAGGCUGCCGGAGCCACCACUGGGGCGCUCGUACCCUCACUGGGGCCUGCAGGGAAGCAGCUUCAGCCACAGUCUUGAGCUCAGUUAACACUUAAUGAUUAAAAAUGCAUAAUAUACUUGUUAAGCUAUCCCAUAUCAUUUGAUGCACCCAUGUCACCAUCUCAAAAAAUCUCAGGAAACACAGUGGAUAUCUUGGGAUCACACUAUUGGACGGAAGACGCACUGCCCAUCUUCUCUUGGGAACUUGUGUGAAGGGCUCCAGUUGAUCCAGGGACUCCUUGGUGACGUGAAGAAACCUUGAACCUACAGUCAAGACCAACUUCCCCAGUGUGCAGCCACCACGAGAGGCAGUAGAGUGUGCAGUGCAUUUUGGAACUGUGGGGAUGUGCGGCUUCAGAGAAACCCGCUGCCACAAGACAGUGCUGGAGCCCCUCGGAGGUCACUGUUAUCCUCUCUGGAGCAUGAGAGGAGCGUGAGAGGAGCAUUCGCCUGGGCUGGCUGGGAGGCGAACUUCUCCCUGUUGUUUCAUCUAUCAGGAACCUUCUCUAAUCUCUGUUCCCACUCAUUAAGCCAAGUGAGAUGUCACGACAAGGAGGCACUCAC
Hyaena hyaena (striped hyena) is the source of this 1351-nucleotide long non-coding RNA. RefSeq lists it as uncharacterized. The transcript has 3 exons. The record is from RefSeq and is a predicted model, not a curated record. Lineage: Eukaryota; Metazoa; Chordata; Mammalia; Carnivora; Hyaenidae.